UGAGUUUGAUCUUGGCUCAGAUUGAACGCUGGCGGCAUGCCUUACACAUGCAAGUCGAACGGCAGCACGGGUGCUUGCACCUGGUGGCGAGUGGCGAACGGGUGAGUAAUACAUCGGAACAUGUCCUGUAGUGGGGGAUAGCCCGGCGAAAGCCGGAUUAAUACCGCAUACGAUCUACGGAUGAAAGCGGGGGACCUUCGGGCCUCGCGCUAUAGGGUUGGCCGAUGGCUGAUUAGCUAGUUGGUGGGGUAAAGGCCUACCAAGGCGACGAUCAGUAGCUGGUCUGAGAGGGCGACCAGCCACACUGGGACUGAGACACGGCCCAGACUCCUACGGGAGGCAGCAGUGGGGAAUUUUGGACAAUGGGCGAAAGCCUGAUCCAGCAAUGCCGCGUGUGUGAAGAAGGCCUUCGGGUUGUAAAGCACUUUUGUCCGGAAAGAAAUCCUUGGCUCUAAUACAGUCGGGGGAUGACGGUACCGGAAGAAUAAGCACCGGCUAACUACGUGCCAGCAGCCGCGGUAAUACGUAGGGUGCGAGCGUUAAUCGGAAUUACUGGGCGUAAAGCGUGCGCAGGCGGUUUGCUAAGACCGAUGUGAAAUCCCCGGGCUCAACCUGGGAACUGCAUUGGUGACUGGCAGGCUAGAGUAUGGCAGAGGGGGGUAGAAUUCCACGUGUAGCAGUGAAAUGCGUAGAGAUGUGGAGGAAUACCGAUGGCGAAGGCAGCCCCCUGGGCCAAUACUGACGCUCAUGCACGAAAGCGUGGGAAGCAAACAGGAUUAGAUACCCUGGUAGUCCACGCCCUAAACGAUGUCAACUAGUUGUUGGGGAUUCAUUUCCUUAGUAACGUAGCUAACGCGUGAAGUUGACCGCCUGGGGAGUACGGUCGCAAGAUUAAAACUCAAAGGAAUUGACGGGGACCCGCACAAGCGGUGGAUGAUGUGGAUUAAUUCGAUGCAACGCGAAAAACCUUACCUACCCUUGACAUGGUCGGAAUCCCGCUGAGAGGUGGGAGUGCUCGAAAGAGAACCGGCGCACAGGUGCUGCAUGGCUGUCGUCAGCUCGUGUCGUGAGAUGUUGGGUUAGGUCCCGCAACGAGCGCAACCCUUGUCCUUAGUUGCUACGCAAGAGCACUCUAAGGAGACUGCCGGUGACAAACCGGAGGAAGGUGGGGAUGACGUCAAGUCCUCAUGGCCCUUAUGGGUAGGGCUUCACACGUCAUACAAUGGUCGGAACAGAGGGUUGCCAACCCGCGAGGGGGAGCUAAUCCCAGAAAACCGAUCGUAGUCCGGAUUGCACUCUGCAACUCGAGUGCAUGAAGCUGGAAUCGCUAGUAAUCGCGGAUCAGCAUGCCGCGGUGAAUACGUUCCCGGGUCUUGUACACACCGCCCGUCACACCAUGGGAGUGGGUUUUACCAGAAGUGGCUAGUCUAACCGCAAGGAGGACGGUCACCACGGUAGGAUUCAUGACUGGGGUGAAGUCGUAACAAGGUA
This 1491-nucleotide ribosomal RNA is filed under the name uncultured beta proteobacterium. RNAcentral's name for it is "16S ribosomal RNA". It matches the Rfam family "Bacterial small subunit ribosomal RNA". Lineage: Bacteria; Pseudomonadati; Pseudomonadota; Betaproteobacteria. The record is from RNAcentral.